RNAcentral lists this long non-coding RNA (1928 nucleotides) under Androctonus crassicauda. The record is from RNAcentral. Lineage: Eukaryota; Metazoa; Arthropoda; Arachnida; Scorpiones; Buthidae.
AAAACAUCUUCGGAUCUUAACUAUGAUCCCUCUUCAGUGUCAUGUUCUGUCUACUUUUGAAUAUAUUCAAAAGUAGACAGAACAUGACACUAUUCCUGUCAGCAGCUUGAAUUUUGUUGGCAGGCAUGUUAUUGGCCUAUAGUUGCUCACUAUUGUUCCUUUGGCUAGAUCUUUCAUUAUCAGGCAGGUCUUUCCUGUUGUUUGCCAGCUGGUCAUGCCUCCUUCUGUGAUAAGUUUGUUGAAUUGUUGUGCCAUCCUUUUGUGCAUGCUUGUAAGAUGUUUAAGCCAAAAGCCAUGCAGCUGAUCUUUUUCUGGGGCACUCCAAUUUUUGAUUCUGCUAGUUCUGGUUUUUAUCAUUUCGUUACAAUAUUGUUUUUCAACUCUUGAUGAUUUGAUGCCGGGUUGGUCUUUUUCUAUCCACGUUGCAUCUUUAUUGUAAGUCUUGGGAUUGUCCCAGAGACUCUGCCAGAACUGUAAAAUGUCAUCUGAAGGUGGUUUUUGUUCAGCAACAUUUUUUUCAUCUUUAUUCCCAUUGCUGAUUACUUGAUAGAAUUUGGUUUGAUUUGUUUGGAACUGCCUGUUUUCUUUGUAUUACUUGAUGCGACUUUGGUAUCUGCUGAUUUUUUUUUGCAGUGGCUGUUAUCUGCUGUUUGAUUAUUUCCAAGACCUUUUUAAUCUUUCUGUUGUCUAGGUGGUAUUUCUUGACCAGGUACUCUUUUGUCUUUUUGUUAUUUAAUUUCUUUUCUUUCAUUGCCGUUAGUUUGCUGGCAUCGGAUCUCAGUAUGCUGAUUUUAUUUUCCAGCCUGAUUUUCCAUUUUGGGACAGUUAUUUGAAACGUUUCUUUUUUCAACCUUUCUGGCAUUAGUUCUUCUGUUGCUAUGGCAGCUGCACUGUGCAUUAUCUGGUUGAUUUCUUCUAGAUUUCAUACUUCUAUUUGCUGGAUGGCAGCAUUGAUGUCACACUGCAACUUUUUCCGCACAACCUUUAUUAGUGGUAAUCUUACUCUUUCAUUGCAGUUUUUUGCCUGCUGCUCAGUCUUUUCUUUUAAUUGCUGUUGGUCUUGUGACAAUGGUCUUUCAGUGGGCUGAGAGGAGAAUCAGGCACUUGGACGAUUUGUUGUUGAAUGGGCAUUGAUGUUUGAGAGGUGUCCUGUUGGCAUGGUUGUUGCUGGGAGGCAUUUAGCUGGUUGCUGCAUCUUUCCUCUACUGCCCUCAUUACUGGUGGCUCAAUAUCUGGCAGCUGAGCAAGCUUGUUAGCCUGGAUAUUAGUUUUUAGUUCUUUCAAUUCUAGCUCAGUGAAGAUCUUCAUUCUUGAGAUGAAGCAUCUUUGGUCUGCUAGUUAUUUUUCUGUGAGCUCUGAUUCAGGAUGAUGUUCUUUCCAUAAGCGAUUCAUUCUUUUUAAGUACCCACAUUUGGCUGGGCUGGAUUUAAAGUACCAUAUCAUAAUCUCUUUGUUUGUGGAUCUUGUAAACUUGUCUCUCUUUCUUUGGCUGAUAUUAUCUUUGCUGCUUUCUUGGUUGCUGGUUGUUGUUCGUCGUUUGCUGUUUGAUGUUGGGAAGGUUCUUCCAGUAGCUCUGCAGUCCUCAAUCCUGGUCACACAACUGAAGAUCCUGAGUCCUGUAGCCCAUUUAUCACUAGAUGGCCAGGGACUCUAACACCUAGUGCAGUCCUUGUUGACCCGGGCGAUGACCAAUCCAGUAUAUCAUUGAACCUUCUUGUGUUCAUCAUGCUUGGUAGGUUGUGGGACACUCUUAGUCUGGCCUCUCAGUCGAGAUCUGUCUGGCAUGGGAGACCCUUCUGGUAAUUACCUACUGCCAACUUAGUUCUCAACAUCAUUGAAGCAUACAUGCUUCUUCACCACGGCAACGUGGUGCCCAUCGAAGGGUAUUAUUAUUAUUAUUAUUAUUAUUAUUAUUAUUAUUAUUAUUA